Molecule: long non-coding RNA, 419 nt
Filed under: Daucus carota (carrot)
Lineage: Eukaryota; Viridiplantae; Streptophyta; Magnoliopsida; Apiales; Apiaceae
Description: long non-coding RNA (DCAR_LNC001078)
Source: RNAcentral
UAUUAUAGAUCUAAUAUGUUGAUAUUAUUGUUGGCUUUAAUGGAAUAGUGAUAUGAUUAUGUGAAUAGUGUGAAUGUGAUUAUAUUUGUUAUUUGGAUUAAUAUGGAUUUUACAGAUUUUGCGUCCUCCUUCUUUUUCUGAUUCCGAGGACGGAAUCCCUAUAAGGAGGGUAGAUUGUAAUAACCCGGAUUUUAAAAAUAUUUUUAUUAAUAUUAUAAAUGAUUUUUUAAAAAGAAAGGAAUAAGAUUUGAUAUUUUAUUCCAGUUUAAUGAGUUUUCAAAGGUUUAUAUUUAAACCUCGGGUUAUUGUGUUAUUGAUAAAUAAUUGUAUUUUCAAAACUGAUUUUCAUAUAUUGUUUUGAGAAUUCUGUAUGAAUAUUAUGUGAAUAUAUGUGUGAUGUGAGUAAGUGGUAUUGGUGG